This 506-nucleotide ribosomal RNA is filed under the name uncultured bacterium. Its description in RNAcentral is "partial 16S ribosomal RNA". It matches the Rfam family "Bacterial small subunit ribosomal RNA", at positions 29 to 523 of the family's 1533-position model. The record is from RNAcentral.
AGUGAACGCUGGCGGUAGGCCUAACACAUGCAAGUCGAACGGCAGCACAGAGGAGCUUGCUCCUUGGGUGGCGAGUGGCGGACGGGUGAGGAAUACAUCGGAAUCUACUCUGUCGUGGGGGAUAACGUAGGGAAACUUACGCUAAUACCGCAUACGACCUACGGGUGAAAGCAGGGGAUCUUCGGACCUUGCGCGAUUGAAUGAGCCGAUGUCGGAUUAGCUAGUUGGCGGGGUAAAGGCCCACCAAGGCGACGAGCCGUAGCGGGUCUGAGAGGAUGAUCAGCCACACUGGAACUGAGACACGGUCCAGACUCCUACGGGAGGCAGCAGUGGGGAAUAUUGGACAAUGGGCGCAAGCCUGAUCCAGCCAUACCGCGUGGGUGAAGAAGGCCUUCGGGUUGUAAAGCCCUUUUGUUGGGAAAGAAAUCCAUCUGGUUAAUACCCGGGUGGGAUGACGGUACCCAAAGAAUAAGCACCGGCUAACUUCGUGCCAGCCGCCGCAGUAA